UACGUAGGGGGCAAGCGUUGUCCGGAUUUAUUGGGCGUAAAGAGCGUGUAGGCGGCCAUGUAGGUCCGUUGUGAAAACUCGAGGCUCAACCUCGAGACGCCGAUGGAAACCAUGUGGCUAGAGUCCGGAAGAGGAGAGUGGAAUUCCUGGUGUAGCGGUGAAAUGCGCAGAUAUCAGGAAGAACACCCGUGGCUAAGGCGGCUCUCUGGAACGGUACUGACGCUGAGACGCGAAAGCGUGGGGAGCGAACAGG
RNAcentral lists this ribosomal RNA (253 nucleotides) under uncultured bacterium. RNAcentral describes it as "partial 16S ribosomal RNA". It matches the Rfam family "Bacterial small subunit ribosomal RNA", at positions 524 to 776 of the family's 1533-position model. The record is from RNAcentral.